Molecule: ribosomal RNA, 380 nt
Filed under: marine Metazoa environmental sample
Lineage: Eukaryota; Metazoa
Description: SSU rRNA
Rfam family: Eukaryotic small subunit ribosomal RNA
Source: RNAcentral
AGCUCCAUUAGCGUAUAUUAAAGUUGUUGCGGUUAAAAAGCUCGUAGUUGGAUUUCUGCCGAGGACGACCGGUCCGCCCUCUGGGUGAGCAUCUGGAUCGGCCUGGGCAUCCUCUUAAGGAACGUAGCUGCACUUGACUGUGUGGUGCGGUAUCCAGGACUUUUACUUUGAGGAAUUAGAGUGUUUCAAGCAGGCUCACGCCUUGAAUACAUUAGCAUGGAAUAAUAAGAUAGGACCUCGGUUCUAUUUUGUUGGUUUCUAGAGCUGAGGUAAUGAUUAAUAGGAAUAGUUGGGGGCAUUCGUAUAGAAUUUUCAGAGGUGAAAUUCUUGGAUUUGCUAACGACGGACUACUGCGAAAGCAGUUGCCAAGGAUGUUUUCA